This 747-nucleotide ribosomal RNA is filed under the name uncultured Enterobacteriaceae bacterium. RNAcentral's name for it is "bacterial SSU rRNA". It matches the Rfam family "Bacterial small subunit ribosomal RNA", at positions 753 to 1502 of the family's 1533-position model. Lineage: Bacteria; Pseudomonadati; Pseudomonadota; Gammaproteobacteria; Enterobacterales; Enterobacteriaceae. The record is from RNAcentral.
GCGAAAGCGUGGGGAGCAACAGGAUUAGAUACCUGGUAGUCCACGCUGUAAACGAUGUCGAUUUGGAGGUUGUUCCCUUGAGGAGUGGCUUCCGGAGCUAACGCGUUAAAUCGACCGCUGGGGAGUACGGCCGCAAGGUUAAAACUCAAAUGAAUUGACGGGGGCCCGCACAAGCGGUGGAGCAUGUGGUUUAAUUCGAUGCAACGCGAAGAACCUUACCUACUCUUGACAUCCAGAGAAUUUAGCAGAGAUGCUUUAGUGCCUUCGGGAACUCUGAGACAGGUGCUGCAUGGCUGUCGUCAGCUCGUGUUGUGAAAUGUUGGGUUAAGUCCCGCAACGAGCGCAACCCUUAUCCUUUGUUGCCAGCACGUUAUGGUGGGAACUCAAAGGAGACUGCCGGUGAUAAACCGGAGGAAAGUGGGGAUGACGUCAAGUCAUCAUGGCCCUUACGAGUAGGGCUACACACGUGCUACAAUGGCGUAUACAAAGAGAAGCGACCUCGCGAGAGCAAGCGGAACUCAUAAAGUACGUCGUAGUCCGGAUUGGAGUCUGCAACUCGACUCCAUGAAGUCGGAAUCGCUAGUAAUCGUAGAUCAGAAUGCUACGGUGAAUACGUUCCCGGGCCUUGUACACACCGCCCGUCACACCAUGGGAGUGGGUUGCAAAAGAAGUAGGUAGCUUAACCUUCGGGAGGGCGCUUACCACUUUGUGAUUCAUGACUGGGGUGAAGUCGUAACAAGGUAACCA